Molecule: long non-coding RNA, 276 nt
Filed under: Setaria italica (foxtail millet)
Lineage: Eukaryota; Viridiplantae; Streptophyta; Magnoliopsida; Poales; Poaceae
Description: long non-coding RNA (SITA_LNC003185)
Source: RNAcentral
CUGCGGCGGGAGGACGACGGUCCUCUGGGCCCAUUUGGCGGCCUGGGGGGCAGCCGCCGACGGCGCAGAGGAGGAGGCGACCUCGCACCGGACGGCGCCACGCGCGCCACGGCGGGGCCGCCCGGAGGCGGAGGAGAUGACGGCCGGAGCUGCGCCGCGGCGGGGUCGCACGGAGGCGGAGGAGAUGACGGCCGGAGCCCGCGCGAUUGCAGCCGAGUGCAUGGUCUGAUUGCGCGGCGGCGGCGGCGGGAGGAACGCGGGGAGCGGCCGAGCGGG